Molecule: long non-coding RNA, 566 nt
Organism: Formica exsecta
Lineage: Eukaryota; Metazoa; Arthropoda; Insecta; Hymenoptera; Formicidae
Exons: 3
Source: RefSeq, a predicted model, not a curated record
AAUACACCGUUAAAAGUUAUACAUUUAAAGAACACGAUAGACAUUAAAUAGAAGACAUUAAAUGAAUGUAUUUUUAUUAAAAUCUAAAGUGAGCGGGUGAAACUAAAUAUUUAUCAACAUAUUUUUUGUGUAUUUAAGGUUGGGAAAUUUGUCAUAUCAAUGAAAUACAGCAAUAUCAGCAUGCGUCGUGAUAAACAUAACCUGUGAUGUAUAUACAUAAUAUUUUUCAAAAUAUAAUUAAUUAGAAAAUUAAUAAGCGAUUAAAAUGUUAUACAUGAGUUACGUGCAUUACCUAACCCCAUCGUCCGUCACUUUGGGAAAGAUAAGAGAGGAUUUUUUUUAGUACGAAAAGAGGUAUAAAAAUGGACUGGUAGAGAAUUGCAUUUAGCAAUCCAUUAAGAUUCUGCAUUAUACUCGAAUGCAACUACAAAAUAGAAUGUAUGGAAAAGAAUGAAAAAGAAAAUGUAAAACAAUUUAAUGUCGUGCUAUCAGAGGUUAUCAAACUAUUACACUAUAAAAAUAACUAAUUUGACAUAUCCCUAAAAACGUCCAUACAUACUACUUCU